GGACCGGAGAGGGAGCCUGAGAAACGGCUACCACAUCCAAGGAAGGCAGCAGGCGCGCAAAUUACCCAAUCCCGAUACGGGGAGGUAGUGACAAUAAAUACUGAUACAGGGCUCUUUUGGGUCUUGUAAUUGGAAUGAGAACAAUCUAAAUCCCUUAACGAGGAACAAUUGGAGGGCAAGUCUGGUGCCAGCAGCCGCGGUAAUUCCAGCUCCAAUAGCGUAUAUUAAAGUUGUUGCAGUUAAAAAGCUCGUAGUUGAACCUUGGGCCCGUCCUGCCGGUCCGCCUCACCGCGAGUACUGGUCCGGAUGGGCCUUUCUUUCUGGGGAAUCCCAUGGCCUUCACUGGCUGUGGCGGGGAACCAGGACUUUUACUGUGAAAAAAUUAGAGUGUUCAAAGCAGGCCUUUGCUCGGAUACAUUAGCAUGGAAUAAUAGAAUAGGACGUGCGGUUCUAUUUUGUUGGUUUCUAGGACCGCCGUAAUGAUUAAUAGGGAUAGUCGGGGGCGUCAUUAUUCAGCUGUCAGAGGUGAUAUGCUUGAUUUUCCAGGGCCU
Molecule: ribosomal RNA, 551 nt
Filed under: Talaromyces pinophilus
Lineage: Eukaryota; Fungi; Ascomycota; Eurotiomycetes; Eurotiales; Trichocomaceae
Description: SSU rRNA
Rfam family: Eukaryotic small subunit ribosomal RNA
Source: RNAcentral